This 424-nucleotide ribosomal RNA is filed under the name uncultured Nitrosospira sp. RNAcentral's name for it is "bacterial SSU rRNA". It matches the Rfam family "Bacterial small subunit ribosomal RNA", at positions 207 to 622 of the family's 1533-position model. Lineage: Bacteria; Pseudomonadati; Pseudomonadota; Betaproteobacteria; Nitrosomonadales; Nitrosomonadaceae. The record is from RNAcentral.
CAAGACCUUGCGCUUUUGGAGCGGCCGAUGCCCGAUUAGCUUGUUGGUGAGGUAAAAGCUCACCAAGGCUUCGAUCAGUAGCUGGUCUGAGAGGACGACCAGCCACACUGGGACUGAGACACGGCCCAGACUCCUGCGGGAGGCAGCAGUGGGGAAUUUUGGACAAUGGGGGCAACCCUGAUCCAGCCAUGCCGCAUGAGUGAAGAAGGCCUUCGGGUUGUAAAGCUCUUUCAGCCGGAACGAAACGGUUACGGUUAAUACCCGUGACUACUGACGGUACCGGAAGAAGAAGCACCGGCUAACUACGUGCCAGCAGCCGCGGUAAUACGUAGGGUGCGAGCGUUAAUCGGAAUUACUGGGCGUAAAGCGUGCGCAGGUGGUUUUGUAAGUCAGAUGUGAAAUCCCCGGGCUUAACCUGGGAACC